Poecilia latipinna (sailfin molly) is the source of this 1431-nucleotide long non-coding RNA. RefSeq lists it as uncharacterized. The transcript is spliced from 2 exons. The record is from RefSeq and is a predicted model, not a curated record. Lineage: Eukaryota; Metazoa; Chordata; Actinopteri; Cyprinodontiformes; Poeciliidae.
CAAAAAAGAUUUUAAGUUCAUAAGAUUCAAUGUUUUAUUUUAACAAAAUAAUGUACUUAGCAUAACAUAACAGUCAAUAACCCCACAGGAACCUGGAUAAAGUCUGCCAUGGCAUCUGAAGCCUGUGGAUAAUAAGAAAAGUACAAAUUAAAAAAAACAGAAUGCGGAGAAAGUUUUGAUUUUCUUGUGUACAACCCAUGACAAACAGAAUAGCAAUGCAUACAAGAUACAUUGUAGAACUCUUUCCUCGAGGGAAACAAAGACAUCCCAGUGUAGCCGUCCUCAUGGCAACAUCAUUGGUCUAGAAGUAGGGAGAACAAUAAAAGUAAGCACAAGCUUAUUCUGAAGAAACUGAAUCACAUUUGGUCACAAUAAGUGGCAUAAAAUAAGGUAACACUUUAUUUGUUGUCUGACCGACUGAUUAUAAUUUUGAUGGUUGUAUAGUUUAAGGAACAAUGGCAAUUUCCCAACCUGCUAUCAGCUGAUUAUUAUAUUAAUGUCAUAGACUGAUGCUCAAUCAUUAUUUCAACAACUAACUGUGUUUAGUUGUGUUUAGUCACCCAAAUACCAUCAACACAAAUUAGUAGCCUAUUCUUAACUAGCUUAACGUGGCAUGUUGUCAUUAAGUAACUAACAUUGUCUGCAUCCUACAGCAUUACUCUACUUACUCGGUUUAGAAAAAAAACUGUGUAAAGGUUUUUGCCUUUUAAUGAUUAUGUGCCAUGAUUCUAACACAAGUGUCCACCUCUGGACAGCAACAUGUCUCCGUAGCAAACCCGCUGGUGCGAGCAUCUUAACAGUAAUGUUGCAUUUAAAGGUGCCUCGGAAAAACACAUUACUAUACAUUAGCAACUGAUUAAACCAUUGUAAUGAUUAAUCAGUUGUGCUGUGGACAGAGGGCACAUAUUGCUGGGUUUCAGAGGAUGUAGCACCGACGUCACCCAAUGCAGAUGGAGGGCAGGAAGUAAAUCCAGCCCAUUUCUUUUGUUGAUCUAGCAUCAAAAUGCCUAAAAUCUGUGUCAUUUACGGUUGUUCAAACCGUUCUAAUAGAGAGAAAGAUAAACCUUAUUUUCAUGUUUCGAAGGUAUUUGGUCACAAGGGAGUUAAUUUUAAAAAAUUAACUGAAAAAAGAGGAAGAAAGUGGAUCGACAAUCUACAGCUAAAAAUAGGUGGUGUGAAAACACCUAACAAUGCCAGAGUUUGCAGCGACCACUUUCUAACAGGUAACGAUCACAUCAUUUUAAUUGUAUUUUCAGAUAUUUUAUUGGACAGUUAUUUAGAAAGACAAGCAUUCAUAUGUAAGGUAAGAUAUAUUAUUUUUACGCCCUAACUUGGUAGUCCCCAGAGUGUUAAUGUUGUUAGCAGUUAGCUCAGUGCCGAGUCACAGACAGAAAAUAUAAUGUUUAUUCAGUGGGACUUUCAUGCUAAAAA